This 406-nucleotide ribosomal RNA is filed under the name uncultured bacterium. RNAcentral describes it as "bacterial SSU rRNA". It matches the Rfam family "Bacterial small subunit ribosomal RNA", at positions 355 to 775 of the family's 1533-position model. The record is from RNAcentral.
UGGGGAAUAUUGGGCAAUGGGGGAAACCCUGACCCAGCAACGCCGCGUGAAGGAAGAAGGCCUUCGGGUUGUAAACUUCUUUUAGCAGGGACGAAGGACGUGACGGUACCUGCAGAAAAAGCGACGGCUAACUACGUGCCAGCAGCCGCGGUAAUACGUAGGUCGCAAGCGUUGUCCGGAUUUACUGGGUGUAAAGGGCGUGUAGGCGGAGAUGCAAGUUGGGAGUGAAAUACCGGGGCUCAACCCCGGAACUGCUUUCAAAACUGCAUCCCUUGAGUAUCGGAGAGGCAAGCGGAAUUCCUAGUGUAGCGGUGAAAUGCGUAGAUAUUAGGAGGAACACCAGUGGCGAAGGCGGCCUGCUGGACGACAACUGACGCUGAGGCGCGAAAGCGUGGGGAGCAAACAG